GCCUACGGGGGGCAGCAGUGGGGAAUAUUGCACAAUGGGGGAAACCCUGAUGCAGCGACGCCGCGUGAAGGAUGAAGUAUUUCGGUAUGUAAACUUCUAUCAGCAGGGAAGAAAAUGACGGUACCUGACUAAGAAGCCCCGGCUAACUACGUGCCAGCAGCCGCGGUAAUACGUAGGGGGCAAGCGUUGUCCGGAUUUACUGGGUGUAAAGGGAGCGUAGACGGUAUGGCAAGUCUGAUGUGAAAACCCGGGGCUCAACUCCGGGAGUGCAUUUGAAACUGUCCAGCUAGAGUCCGG
Molecule: ribosomal RNA, 297 nt
Filed under: uncultured bacterium
Lineage: Bacteria
Description: partial 16S ribosomal RNA
Rfam family: Bacterial small subunit ribosomal RNA
Source: RNAcentral